This 287-nucleotide long non-coding RNA is filed under the name Brassica rapa (field mustard). RNAcentral's name for it is "long non-coding RNA (BRAP_LNC000592)". The record is from RNAcentral. Lineage: Eukaryota; Viridiplantae; Streptophyta; Magnoliopsida; Brassicales; Brassicaceae.
ACCCGGUUGGCCGGUUCACCGUGUUAAAGAACGGUUACAUCCGGAGGGGAGAACUCCUGCUCCCCAACUGCCUCUACAUAUGUCACCGGAAACCACCUCCGGUGGUGGUGUGUACAAGCUAUCACUCACCUGCAAAACCACAAUCCGGUUUGCUUACAAGAGUAACAAGAAUAAGAAAAGAAUUCUAGAACCCCAGAAAUGAAACCUCCUCACUCUCUCUAGAUCUCCCACAUCUCUCUCUUUCUAUCAAAGAAUCAACAUUGAAGAAUCUUGAAGAAGCUCGUCUC